ACCCCGGUAGCUUAUAUAUUUAAAGCAUAGCACUGAAGAUGCUAAAAAGGCAAACUAAUGCCCCAGGGUA
Molecule: transfer RNA, 70 nt
Filed under: Ifremeria nautilei
Lineage: Eukaryota; Metazoa; Mollusca; Gastropoda; Provannidae
Description: tRNA-Phe
Rfam family: tRNA
About the family: Transfer RNA (tRNA) molecules are approximately 80 nucleotides in length. Their secondary structure includes four short double-helical elements and three loops (D, anti-codon, and T loops).
Source: RNAcentral